RNAcentral lists this ribosomal RNA (867 nucleotides) under uncultured archaeon. Its description in RNAcentral is "bacterial SSU rRNA". It matches the Rfam family "Archaeal small subunit ribosomal RNA", at positions 1 to 878 of the family's 1478-position model. The record is from RNAcentral.
CUCCGGUUGAUCCCGCCGGACCCGACUGCUAUCAGAGUGGGACUAAGCCAUGCGAGUCAACGCAGCAAUGCGUGGCAUACGGCUCAGUAACACGUAGUCAACAUGCCCAGGGGACGUGGAUAACCUCGGGAAACUGAGGAUAAACCACGAUAGGCCAAGGUUUCUGGAAUGGACACUGGCUGAAACCUACAUGGCCCCUGGAUUGGACUGCGGCCGAUCAGGCUGUUGGUGAGGUAAUGGCCCACCAAACCUGUAACCGGUACGGGCUUUGAGAGAAGGAGCCCGGAGAUGGGCACUGAGACAAGGGCCCAGGCCCUAUGGGGCGCAGCAGGCGCGAAACCUCUGCAAUAGGCGAAAGCUUGACAGGGUUACUCUGAGUGAUGCCCGCUAAGGGCAUCUUUUGGCACCUCUAAAAAUGGUGCAGAAUAAGGGGUGGGCAAGUCUGGUGUCAGCCGCCGCGGUAAUACCAGCACCCCGAGUGGUCGGGACGAUUAUUGGGCCUAAAGCAUCCGUAGCUUGUUCUGCAAGUCCUCCGUUAAAUCCACCUGCUCAACAGAUGGGCUGCGGGGGAUACUACAGGGCUAGGAGGCGGGAGAGGCAAACGGUACUCAGUGGGUAGGGGUAAAAUCCUCUGAUCCACUGAAGACCACCAGUGGCGAAGGCGGUUUGCCAGAACGCGCUCGACGGUGAGGGAUGAAAGCUGGGGGAGCAAACCGGAUUAGAUACCCGGGUAGUCCCAGCUGUAAACGAUGCAGACUCGGUGAUGGGUUGGCUUUGAGCCAACCCAGUGCCGCAGGGAAGCCGUUAAGUCUGCCGCCUGGGGAGUACGGUCGCAAGACUGAAACUUAAAGGAUUGGCGGGGGAGCA